RNAcentral lists this long non-coding RNA (588 nucleotides) under Elaeis guineensis (African oil palm). RNAcentral's name for it is "long non-coding RNA (EGUI_LNC021276)". The record is from RNAcentral. Lineage: Eukaryota; Viridiplantae; Streptophyta; Magnoliopsida; Arecales; Arecaceae.
UGCCAAAACAUUCUUAUUCCACGGAAUAGGUGUAUCACUCUAACAUAUAAGGGGUAUCCCUUCCAAAAUUUAUUCUGCAACCGAAUGUUAACUUGGUCCUGCAGUUUCAUAGUCCACCUGCUUAAUUUCCAAAUGACCUGCUCCCUCUAAAGCAUGUAUAGUUCUAUCGAGUAAUCAUCACCUUAUCUAGUAGAAUCAGCUAACAAUAUGUCCCAAUAAAUGUUACAUACCUCUCACCAAAUCCAAAUUUCACAAAAAUGGGUGCUAGAUAUGGUCCAAUAUGAUCCAUAUACUUCACUGUCCGUUGCAUUAUGAUUUGUGGAUUCAAUUUACACAAUUUCUUCUGUCAUUUAAAGAUCAAAUAUUUUCUAAUGCUCUUAGUGGUGGCUUGUUUUAACAAAUAAGUGAUGCUUGCAUAGUUACAGCACAAGUUACAACAAUGGAAUUUUAGAAAACCAAACAUAUAGCAAUGCUUGUCAUAUAUGGUACAAUUAUAUAUGUGAAACAUUAUAGUUAUUGUUGUACUCCAACUAUAUCCAUCCCUUUUUCCUAAUGGUGGUAUAUAUAAUAAAACAUAGAAAAUUGUGA